Molecule: ribosomal RNA, 2903 nt
Filed under: Escherichia coli
Lineage: Bacteria; Pseudomonadati; Pseudomonadota; Gammaproteobacteria; Enterobacterales; Enterobacteriaceae
Description: 23S ribosomal RNA
Rfam family: Bacterial large subunit ribosomal RNA
Source: RNAcentral
GGUUAAGCGACUAAGCGUACACGGUGGAUGCCCUGGCAGUCAGAGGCGAUGAAGGACGUGCUAAUCUGCGAUAAGCGUCGGUAAGGUGAUAUGAACCGUUAUAACCGGCGAUUUCCGAAUGGGGAAACCCAGUGUGUUUCGACACACUAUCAUUAACUGAAUCCAUAGGUUAAUGAGGCGAACCGGGGGAACUGAAACAUCUAAGUACCCCGAGGAAAAGAAAUCAACCGAGAUUCCCCCAGUAGCGGCGAGCGAACGGGGAGCAGCCCAGAGCCUGAAUCAGUGUGUGUGUUAGUGGAAGCGUCUGGAAAGGCGCGCGAUACAGGGUGACAGCCCCGUACACAAAAAUGCACAUGCUGUGAGCUCGAUGAGUAGGGCGGGACACGUGGUAUCCUGUCUGAAUAUGGGGGGACCAUCCUCCAAGGCUAAAUACUCCUGACUGACCGAUAGUGAACCAGUACCGUGAGGGAAAGGCGAAAAGAACCCCGGCGAGGGGAGUGAAAAAGAACCUGAAACCGUGUACGUACAAGCAGUGGGAGCACGCUUAGGCGUGUGACUGCGUACCUUUUGUAUAAUGGGUCAGCGACUUAUAUUCUGUAGCAAGGUUAACCGAAUAGGGGAGCCGAAGGGAAACCGAGUCUUAACUGGGCGUUAAGUUGCAGGGUAUAGACCCGAAACCCGGUGAUCUAGCCAUGGGCAGGUUGAAGGUUGGGUAACACUAACUGGAGGACCGAACCGACUAAUGUUGAAAAAUUAGCGGAUGACUUGUGGCUGGGGGUGAAAGGCCAAUCAAACCGGGAGAUAGCUGGUUCUCCCCGAAAGCUAUUUAGGUAGCGCCUCGUGAAUUCAUCUCCGGGGGUAGAGCACUGUUUCGGCAAGGGGGUCAUCCCGACUUACCAACCCGAUGCAAACUGCGAAUACCGGAGAAUGUUAUCACGGGAGACACACGGCGGGUGCUAACGUCCGUCGUGAAGAGGGAAACAACCCAGACCGCCAGCUAAGGUCCCAAAGUCAUGGUUAAGUGGGAAACGAUGUGGGAAGGCCCAGACAGCCAGGAUGUUGGCUUAGAAGCAGCCAUCAUUUAAAGAAAGCGUAAUAGCUCACUGGUCGAGUCGGCCUGCGCGGAAGAUGUAACGGGGCUAAACCAUGCACCGAAGCUGCGGCAGCGACACUAUGUGUUGUUGGGUAGGGGAGCGUUCUGUAAGCCUGUGAAGGUGUGCUGUGAGGCAUGCUGGAGGUAUCAGAAGUGCGAAUGCUGACAUAAGUAACGAUAAAGCGGGUGAAAAGCCCGCUCGCCGGAAGACCAAGGGUUCCUGUCCAACGUUAAUCGGGGCAGGGUGAGUCGACCCCUAAGGCGAGGCCGAAAGGCGUAGUCGAUGGGAAACAGGUUAAUAUUCCUGUACUUGGUGUUACUGCGAAGGGGGGACGGAGAAGGCUAUGUUGGCCGGGCGACGGUUGUCCCGGUUUAAGCGUGUAGGCUGGUUUUCCAGGCAAAUCCGGAAAAUCAAGGCUGAGGCGUGAUGACGAGGCACUACGGUGCUGAAGCAACAAAUGCCCUGCUUCCAGGAAAAGCCUCUAAGCAUCAGGUAACAUCAAAUCGUACCCCAAACCGACACAGGUGGUCAGGUAGAGAAUACCAAGGCGCUUGAGAGAACUCGGGUGAAGGAACUAGGCAAAAUGGUGCCGUAACUUCGGGAGAAGGCACGCUGAUAUGUAGGUGAGGUCCCUCGCGGAUGGAGCUGAAAUCAGUCGAAGAUACCAGCUGGCUGCAACUGUUUAUUAAAAACACAGCACUGUGCAAACACGAAAGUGGACGUAUACGGUGUGACGCCUGCCCGGUGCCGGAAGGUUAAUUGAUGGGGUUAGCGCAAGCGAAGCUCUUGAUCGAAGCCCCGGUAAACGGCGGCCGUAACUAUAACGGUCCUAAGGUAGCGAAAUUCCUUGUCGGGUAAGUUCCGACCUGCACGAAUGGCGUAAUGAUGGCCAGGCUGUCUCCACCCGAGACUCAGUGAAAUUGAACUCGCUGUGAAGAUGCAGUGUACCCGCGGCAAGACGGAAAGACCCCGUGAACCUUUACUAUAGCUUGACACUGAACAUUGAGCCUUGAUGUGUAGGAUAGGUGGGAGGCUUUGAAGUGUGGACGCCAGUCUGCAUGGAGCCGACCUUGAAAUACCACCCUUUAAUGUUUGAUGUUCUAACGUGGACCCGUGAUCCGGGUUGCGGACAGUGUCUGGUGGGUAGUUUGACUGGGGCGGUCUCCUCCUAAAGAGUAACGGAGGAGCACGAAGGUUGGCUAAUCCUGGUCGGACAUCAGGAGGUUAGUGCAAUGGCAUAAGCCAGCUUGACUGCGAGCGUGACGGCGCGAGCAGGUGCGAAAGCAGGUCAUAGUGAUCCGGUGGUUCUGAAUGGAAGGGCCAUCGCUCAACGGAUAAAAGGUACUCCGGGGAUAACAGGCUGAUACCGCCCAAGAGUUCAUAUCGACGGCGGUGUUUGGCACCUCGAUGUCGGCUCAUCACAUCCUGGGGCUGAAGUAGGUCCCAAGGGUAUGGCUGUUCGCCAUUUAAAGUGGUACGCGAGCUGGGUUUAGAACGUCGUGAGACAGUUCGGUCCCUAUCUGCCGUGGGCGCUGGAGAACUGAGGGGGGCUGCUCCUAGUACGAGAGGACCGGAGUGGACGCAUCACUGGUGUUCGGGUUGUCAUGCCAAUGGCACUGCCCGGUAGCUAAAUGCGGAAGAGAUAAGUGCUGAAAGCAUCUAAGCACGAAACUUGCCCCGAGAUGAGUUCUCCCUGACUCCUUGAGAGUCCUGAAGGAACGUUGAAGACGACGACGUUGAUAGGCCGGGUGUGUAAGCGCAGCGAUGCGUUGAGCUAACCGGUACUAAUGAACCGUGAGGCUUAACCUU